AACGAACGCUGGCGGCAGGCCUAACACAUGCAAGUCGAACGAACCCUUCGGGGUGAGUGGCGCACGGGUGCGUAACACGUGGGAAUAUACACAUAGGUAAGGAAUAACUCAGGGAAACUUGCGCUAAUACCUUAUAAUAACUCCGGUUCAAAGAUUUAUCGCCUAUGGAUUAGCCCGCGCUAGAUUAGUUUGUUGGUGAGGUAAGAGCUCACCAAGACUACGAUCUAUAGCUGGUCUUAGAGGAUGAUCAGCCACACUGGAACUGAGACACGGUCCAGACUCCUACGGGAGGCAGCAGUGAGGAAUAUUGCGCAAUGGAGGAAACUCUGACGCAGCCAUGCCGCGUGAAUGAAGAAGGCCUUAGGGUUGUAAAAUUCUUUCAGAUGCGAAGAUAAUGACGGUACCAUCAGAAGAAGCUCCGGCUAAAUUCGUGCCAGCAGCCGCGGUAAUGUCAGUG
RNAcentral lists this ribosomal RNA (457 nucleotides) under uncultured bacterium. RNAcentral's name for it is "bacterial SSU rRNA". It matches the Rfam family "Bacterial small subunit ribosomal RNA", at positions 29 to 531 of the family's 1533-position model. The record is from RNAcentral.